AUGGCACAGAAAAAUGGAUAUCCAAUCUGCGUCUUCAGUCCGAUCGCCGUCUGGGUAGAAGUGCAUACACCAUCGAUGGCCUCCGAUGGUGAAAGACUCCGACGCGAUGCAUUUGCCGUUGCCAAGCCCCUUGAUGCGGGAGUAGCCGUCUAUCUUGACGACGUGCGACCCGGACACAGCCGGCGCGACGAUGGCCGACGCAGCAGGCGAAGACCCGCCGCUGGGGGCGAUGUUGUCCACCGCAGACGAAGAGUGCGCUGCUGCUUCUCCUCGCCGGCUCGGUGCCACCAGCAUUGUUGCUUCUCCGUGCUAGCUGCAGGAAAAUCGUCAGAGACGGAAGUUAGGCCACAUACUGAGAGAGAGAGAGAGAGAGAGCAGAGAGAGAGCAGAGAGCAGAGAGCAGACAGCAGAGAGCAGAGAGAGAGCAGAGAGCAGAGAGCAGAGCAGAGCAAGAUGUGA
RNAcentral lists this ribosomal RNA (459 nucleotides) under Triticum aestivum (bread wheat). RNAcentral's name for it is "partial small subunit ribosomal RNA". The record is from RNAcentral. Lineage: Eukaryota; Viridiplantae; Streptophyta; Magnoliopsida; Poales; Poaceae.